Molecule: ribosomal RNA, 803 nt
Filed under: Sarea resinae
Lineage: Eukaryota; Fungi; Ascomycota; Sareomycetes; Sareales; Zythiaceae
Description: partial large subunit ribosomal RNA
Rfam family: Eukaryotic large subunit ribosomal RNA
Source: RNAcentral
AAUAAGCGGAGGAAAAGAAACCAACAGGGAUUGCCUCAGUAACGGCGAGUGAAGCGGCAACAGCUCAAAUUUGAAAUCUGGCUCUUUCAGGGUCCGAGUUGUAAUUUGUAGAGGAUGUUUCGGGUGUGGCUCCGGUCUAAGUUCCUUGGAACAGGACGUCAUAGAGGGUGAGAAUCCCGUAUGUGACUGGAAGCCUUCGUCCAUGUGAAACUCCUUCGACGAGUCGAGUUGUUUGGGAAUGCAGCUCAAAAUGGGUGGUAAAUUUCAUCUAAAGCUAAAUACUGGCCAGAGACCGAUAGCGCACAAGUAGAGUGAUCGAAAGAUGAAAAGCACUUUGGAAAGAGAGUUAAAAAGUACGUGAAAUUGUUGAAAGGGAAGCGCUUGCAACCAGACUUGCUCGCGGUUGCUCAGCCGGUGUUCUCACCGGUGCACUCUUCCGCGAUCAGGCCAGCAUCGGUUUGGGCGGCUGGAUAAAGGCUCUGGGAAUGUGGCUCCUCUCGGGGAGUGUUAUAGCCCAGGGUGCAAUGCAGCCUGUCCGGAUCGAGGACCGCGCUUCGGCUAGGAUGCUGGCGUAAUGGUUGUAAGCGACCCGUCUUGAAACACGGACCAAGGAGUCUAACAUCUAUGCGAGUGUUUGGGUGUCAAACCCAUGCGCGUAAUGAAAGUGAACGGAGGUGGGAACCCUUAAGGGUGCACCAUCGACCGAUCCUGAAGUCUUCGGAUGGAUUUGAGUAAGAGCAUAGCUGUUGGGACCCGAAAGAUGGUGAACUAUGCCUGAAUAGGGUGAAGCCAGAGGAAACUCU